This is a non-coding RNA of Pelobates cultripes (western spadefoot toad), 11562 nucleotides long. The record is from the annotation of a GenBank genome assembly. Lineage: Eukaryota; Metazoa; Chordata; Amphibia; Anura; Pelobatidae.
GGGGGGGCUGCAGGAGGUCGGAUGUGCCGCGGGGGGCUCCCUGGGAGUCCCCCCAAACGCGAUCGCCGGCGACCGGGUAAGUAAAAAUAAACGGAGGGUGUACUAUUACGCCCGGCAGCGUUUAGAGCCACUUAAAAUAGGGCAUAAUAGUAGUAUAGGGGUUAAAAACAAUAUAUACAAUAUAUACCGUGUUUUAAAAUAACAAUAACAAUCUAAGAUUUAUUGAUUUUUUUAAGAGAAGUAAUUUUUACAUUUUAUCUUAUACAAGAAACCCAAAGAUACUUUCACUUUCUACAUAUAUCAAUAUAUGCAUUAAAUAAAAAAAAAAUAACUGCUAACGAUUAGGAGAAUUCCUGAAACCAAAUACUCCGUCAUACAUGGAAACCUAAGAGAACCUGUUACCAGAUUUCCUGGAUUUUGCCACAAAUAUUGUCUGCUCCACAGUCUCUGAAUCGUGAAAGGAUGAUAAAGUGUUUGUUCUAUAAUAAGAUAAAUGUACAACAGCUGGAAUGCAAGAACUGGCACCAGAGGCCUUUUGCCAUAAGUCUAUGGAAAGGCUAUAGAGCUAGCAAGGCAAAAAUAACAUGCUGUGUCUGUCCACACAUAGCAAGAGCCUUAGACCAACAAACUUACAGUGAUAGAUCAGUAAUUUAUCAUCGUAAUGAGUGCAGUUUACAAAGAAUUCAAGAAACGUUGAAAGAUAUGUAACACGUUGAGUAAACUUUCAAGACAACAUUCUACUCGAGAAAAGAAACAAUUUCAGAUAAAAGGUUAAUGACCAAAUUUGUAUAUAUUUUAGCAAAAAUAGCUGUCAAAACAUUUAAGAAAAACCCCCACAACAGAUAUGGGAAAAAACUAUUCUGGAGAAUGUUGCAGAGGAAAGGAAACAUUAAGGCUAAACUUUGUAAUGAAAACCGAGAAGUUCCUAAACUCGAUAUGUUUUCAUUUUAAAACGUGUUUUAGUUGUGGUUACUUUUAAUUCCUUUGUCAAAUAAUAACAAUUCUAAAAAUGUAGUUUAAUUUCUUUAUUAUUUAUUUGUAAUAGCCAUCAAAAUAAAUGACUAACCAAUGUAAAAAGCUUUGAAUCUUUUCCAGAUCUUAGAUUUUUUUUUUUAAAUGUCUGCUUAUUGGGAUAUUUAUUUUACAUGAAUAUGCAUACUUUUUAAAGGAAAAAUAAUUACCAUUAAAUUUGGGGCCAACAUAAAGAAUUAACCUUUUAAGUUCCAGACAUUUGAGAAAACAUUGCAAAUCAAACAGUAGCUCCUUGGAGAUUUGUUUGGCUAAAAUAAUAGUACUGUGAUGGCACCUAGUUUUUCCAAAAUCACCACUUCUAGGCUUUAUUUUGCAAUCACAUUUUCAGUUUACUACAAUGCAAUGUUUCGUAACUAAAUCCCAAACUGUUCCUUGACUAUGUCUUUCACUAUUUAGAUUAAGGACAUCCCCCCACCCCUCAAAACAAAUAAAAUAAAGCUUUUUACUUAUCUUUAGUCUCCUGUUGCACCGGUCUUGCAAUGGCCGUCCUUUCAUCAGAAUCUCCUCAUUGACUCAAAGCAUCUCUAUGAGGAGUGUUAAGCAUGGAGAUGCUGAAUGUCAGUCCUGCAAAGAUUGCAACACCACAACCAGGAAGUGCCUGAGAGUGAGAAAGGGUAAGUAAAAUUAUUAUUUUUUCUCCGUACAGGUGGGGAUAUAAACACUGAAAAUCGUCUAUAAUUUGUUUAAUCAUCUAUAAUUAGUUUUAAUUUUUUUUUCAUCUGAAGUUUCCUUUUCUUUUCAAUGUUUGUGAAAGAUUUAGCAAAUGAUAUCACAACCCAGCUCUAAGAUUACCAGGGAGCUAAGGUGGAAGUGUUCAGUUGCAGGAUCAAAAUUGUUUGUUUUUACAUAUAAUUUAGUUUUUCACCCCGUACAAAUACAUUUUUGUUAAAUAUAGCAGAUAAGUAAAGACUAAUUUAAUAAUAAAUAUCAGUUCCCCUUCAAAUGGACUUUAAACUGGUGUCUUCCUUUGCUGAAAGUCAUUUUAUACUGAUGCUCUAUUUGCCUGUGACAAAAUUGGCUUGAUUAUUUGCCACUGUAUUGACAUUUACUGUUUUCUUUGUGCACCUCACUUUUAUUAGACUAUUCCUACUUGGUACUAUAUUAUGCAGUAAUUCCAACGGCUUGUUUCACAGUCACUGUUUUUGUGUAUUGUGUAGUUCUACACUAUUUAUAAAAUGUUAUUGUAAGUGCCCACAAAACUUUGCACUGUUUUAUGCUUCUCAGUGCAUGUUUAGAUUAUUUUUUUUUUACUUCUGUCAGGCUUCAAGCUGUGUAAGAUAAAGUACUUCCAGACUUUCGAUUCAUCUGCAGCAAAGGACUAGCCACUAAAACAAUGUAUUCAAAUCGCAGUGAGCCAUACCUGGCACUUACGAAAAGACUAAAUAAUGUACUUAAAAUUAAUCAUUCAGCAAAAUUUGGAUGUCACUACAGAACAAACUUAGCAUAAAAAUGUGAAAAGAAGGUAUUGUGCUCAUAUUGGCAACAAAACAUAUAUCACUCAGUGUGUCAUUUUUAAAAUAAAUCUCACGUUUUCUGGUGUGCAUAAAACCCCACUAAACACAAAUACCUUACUAAUAUAGUCUGAUUCUAUGAAGGCUUAGAAUAAACAAAAUGAGAGUGAAAAAAAAAAAAAAUAAGCAUGUGCUCUGACUGUCCUCCAAUGAAGAUAAAGGGACAUUCCAUGUUCAAAUAUUUAUAUUUUUUGCAUUAAAUAAAUACAUACAUGUUUUGCAGAAUGCUGCACCAUAAGCCUGCCUUUUUAGCCACACCCCCUCACUCCAAAGACAGACUUCCUUAUCAAGUGUAAAUGUAAUUCCACGAAAAACAUUGAGGUGGUGAGCGCAUACAGGAAGAAGAGACAAUCCGGUGAAUCUACUUUCUACCACCCCGUUUGAUUGGUUGCAGGCCCGAUGGAAUGGCGCGGAAUUACAUUUAAAAGAGAUCGGAGGAGAACAUGAUACAUCUUCUGCUGCCCCUGACGAAGUCCAACUAGGACGAAACGCGUUGGGCGAAGGGACCCACAUAAGACUUUAUUUUAUUGUUUAAAGUUAUAUAUAAGUUUUAUUAUUUUAUUUUUCUGGUUGUUUCAUUAUUUUGUUCCUGACCUGAGUUAUUCUCCUCCAAGUUCACGGUUGGGCAAGACAUUUGUUGUGAUACGCUGGACUUUCUUGCAAUCAAUUCCUUCUAGAGCGUGCAUUUAGCCACUAACAUUUAUUGGUGUUUAAAUUUACUGCACCAUUAUUUUUUAUCUCUCUCUUUAUCCUUAGAUUUUUUUUUUUUUUUGCAUUUCUAUAUAAAGAAGACUUAAGGGAGUCUCUUACAAUCUAUUGUAAUAUAAGGGUAAUCUGUAUUUUAUGUAUAUUUUUACACACUUUUGGUGUGCACUUGUAUUGUAUAGUUAUAUAUAUGGCUUGUAAUCCACAUUAUUGAAACACUGUUUAUGUAUAAUUAUUAUGUUUUAUUGUACAGUUUAAUUUCCCUUCUCUGUAUUGCUUGUCUUUUGGCCAAGGAAGGGGGAUUUCUUGGAUUUUCUCUGAAGCACCAGAAAGCAAUGAUAGUGGUCUGCACCCACUAAGUGGGCAACCAUAAGAGAUGCAGAGACAGUCAUUUAAAGUUAUAGGUUCCAACCUUUAGAUAAUUCUCCAGGUGAAUACAAAUUUGGCCCUGGUAACAAGAUUCCAACUUCUAUCUAUGAAAACCUCCCACCUUGUAACAUGAAUAAGACAUGUUGGUAACACAAUGCUCUGUUAAUAAUAAUUAGGGGUAUUGAAAAAUGACAACCUACUUUAUGUGGUUGGAAGAGAGCAAACAUCUAUUAAACUUUUAUCUUAACAUAGUCUUGCUGAAAUUCAUUUAAAUUAUUAUAUUAUAAUUAUAAUGAUUAAAGACAGCUAACAUAAAUCUGUGUUUUAUAGAAAAUGAAUACAUAGCAGACAAAAUAAAUGACAUCAAAUGAUCUGUAAGUAUAUUUUCUCUUCAAAAAUAGAAACCCACACCUAAAUGUAAUGUCAUCAUACUAUGUGCAUGUAACAACACCCCCAGGCAUAAAAGGGUCAAACCGCCAUUUAGUAGAUCUUCCCCUUCCAGAGACACAGGCACAGCUACUGCAGAACCCCAAACUCCUGAACAGGAUACCCAGUAACACUCCAAACUCCCAAACUGGAACCUCACGAAUAGCUGCUAGCAGCUGAACAGGAAAAGCACCCAAGCGGCUUACACUCCUGGCAAUCAGUCUCUAACAGCAUACAGUAAAUCCCCCCAAGAACGAGACAAAGAUCCGUUUUGAGGGUCAAGCAGGAACAGACAGAGCUGUGGGUUUAUUGUUCUUAUAUACACAUUAGUAUCACCCACACGGUUUUGGAAAACAACCAAUAAACACGUACAAUACACUCAGACACUCCCACACAAAAUCCUCCCCUCUACCUGUGAUACAAUUACCUUACACAAUGGGUAAUGUAAUUAUCACAGACAGAGAAAUACAGUUUUUCCACAUUAUUCAUAACUUUAAAAGUAUGCAUCACAUACACAUUUUCAGAAUCAGCAUACUCCAAAUACAAACAUACGUCAAAAUCAUACAAAUUGCUCCAGUAGUUCAAAAAAUAGAUUGUAGUCCUUUGUGACCAAAUGAAGCAUGGCUUUUCUGCCCAAAACCAGUUCACAUAGUCUUCUAUCCUGGAGAUAAUUGGGAAGUAAUCCAAUUAUCUCCAAGGACAGAUGCAAAACUCCAUUAAGAACAUGGCAGUAAAAAGACAGUAAAAUACACAAGGUUACAUUUAUUACAUAAAAUACAGACAUGCAACAUAUCCCCAGAUAGCUUAGGUCUGAGCACACAUUAUUACUGAAUGGCGCUCAUACCACACACAUACAGUUCAAUUGCCAUGGAGCCAUAGUCUUUCAUUAUACGCUAAAAAUAUGUAAUGUGAUCUUUGUGCAUUUUAUCUGUGUGUACAUGUAUAUCUGUGUGUCAAUGUGUGUCUGUAUGUGUGCCAUUGUAUGUAUGUAUCUAGAUGUGUUUCAGUGUCUGUGUAUCUGCAUGUGUGUCUGCAUGGAUGUCAUUGUGUGUAUCUGUAUGUUGUCAGUGUGUGUCUGUGUAUCUACAUGUCUGUACCUGAGUAUCUGUAUGUGAGUCUGUAUGUAUGUGACAGUGUAUAUGUGUAUACAUGUAUUUGUUUUUCUGUGUUUCCAUGUGUGUCUGUAUAUUUGUAUGGUGUUAGUGUACUUCUGUGUAUCUGCAUCAGUGUUAAUUUUGGCGGCAAAUUUCAAUUUAGUUUUAGUCAUUCAUCCAUUUUAGUUUAGUUGUAUUUUAGUCAUCUGAAUUGUUUUAAUUUUAGUCUAGUUUUAGUCGACUAAAUCUCAAAAAACGUAGUCGACUAAAACUUGACUAAAAUUUUGUCGACAAAACUAACUGAUCUGCAUGUGUGUCAGUGUGUGUAUCUGUAUGUUGUCAGUGUGCCUGUGUAUCUGCAUGUCUGUACCUGUGUAUUUGUGUGUGUCUGUGUGUACAUCUCAGCAUUCAAACUCUAACACGUCACACAUACACCCCUACUUUCACAGGCAAACAUUACACACAAGUAAACCACUGCUUUCAAAUGGCAACAGCACAUAAAAACACACAACACUACACACAAAUACAUUACUACAUUCACACACAGAUACUUUAUACAAAAACAUACAUUCAAACAUACAAAUGCUGCUCUAUGCGAAGUACAAUCCAGCAGGGAUGGGCAAAUGGUAGAUCUCCAGCUGGCAAAGCAUUGUGUCAGUUGAACAACAUCUUUGCAAUCAGCGGUGCCUCCCAAAAAUUAUUUCAACAGUGUCCUUUCUACUGUAGUUCCACCACUAAGUGCAAAGCAUUCAUAUAACAACACAGGGGAAUAAUAUAUCAGAGGCAAAUGUAAAGGGACACUAUAGUUAUUAGAACAACUACAGCUUAAUGUAGUGGUUCUGGUGUCUAUAGCCUUUCCCUGCAGGCUUUUUAAUGUAUGUGCUGCCUUUUCAGAAAGAAGGCAGUGUUUAAAUUACCGCCUAGGAUCACCUGUAGUGGCAGUCAAACAGAUCUCCACUAGAUGUGCUUCCUGGGUUAGUGCUGCGCAGUGUGUAGCACUUAUGUUCAGUGUCUCCAUUUCCAUUGGAAAGCAUUGGAUUUGCUUGGAUCGUUAAAUUUAAUUAUCUCAGCCAUGGAGGCAGAGGGGGACUGGGGACCUAAAAUGUGCUCUUGCAACUAUAGUGUCAGGAAUACAUGUUUGUAUUCCUGACACUAUAGUGUUCCUUUAACAUCAUAGACCCCAUGCUCAAUAGCAGGGCAGCUUGAGCUCUUUCUACAAUGUAUCAGCUAUAGCACCAAUAACAACAUACCUCCUUGUAAGCCAAUUAUUUUGCUAUGUAGCCUACAAUUUACAAUCCACUUGUGAUAUCGCAGUGUCCCACUCAGGGUCCCUAUCCACCAUGACAGUCUCUAUUCCACAAAUUCAUCCUCUAUACCCCACUACAGCCUUUCUUCUCCCACUGCAUCCCCUACCACGUCACUACAGCUCCUGUUUCCCAAUUAGAGCCAUUGUCUCCCCAGUACAAUCCCUAUUUCUCCACUACAGCCCCUAUCCCCCAUCCCCCCAGGGACGUUUUAGCCGCGAGGCAAACAAGGCAUUUGCCUUGGGCGGUAUUUUCCAGGCAUUAGCCUUGUGGCUAACUGACAUGCUGGGCGGGCUGGCGGGCGGCUGGCGAGGGAGCACUUCCCCUGAGCACUCUGUUCAGCUCCCUCGCGCGCCGCAGAGUGAGGUUGGGAGCCGGAAUAUGAUGUCAUAUUCCGGCUCCCAGCCUCACUCUGUGGCGCGCGAGAGAGCUGAGCAGAGUGCUCAGGGGAAGUGCUCUCUCGCCAGCCGCCUGCCAGCGCCGCCCACCCAGCAGCCACUGGACCCCCAGGGAGAAAGAGAACCCCCCCCCCAGCAUUCCCAAAGGUAAGGAGGCUGGGGGUUAAAUAGAAAAAAAUGUGUUAAUGAGAGUGAGUGUGUGUGUAUGUCUGUUAGUGUGUGUGUGUCUGUUAGUGUGUAUGUCUGUUAGUGUGAGUGUGUCUGUUAGUGUGUGUGAAUGUUAAUGUGUGUGUGUGUAUCUGUUAGUGUGUGUUUGUUAGUGUGUGUGUGUGUGUGUGUCUGACUGUGUGUGUGUGUCUGUUAGUGUGAGUGUGAGUGUGUUUGUGAGUGUGUGUGUCUGUUAGUGUGUGUGUGUGUCUGCUAGUGUGUGUCUGCUAGUGAGUGAGUGUGUGUCUGUUAGUGUGUGUGUGUGUCUGUCUGACUGUGUGUGUCUGUUAGUGUAUGUGUGUGUGUGUCUGACUCUGUGUGUCUGUUAGUGUGAGUGUGUUUGCCUGUGAGUUUUUGUGUCAGUGAGUGUGUGUGUCUGCAAGUGUGUGUCUGUUGGUGAGUGUGUGUUUGCCUGUGAGUGUGUGUGUGUCUGCUAGUGAGUGAGUGUGUGUCUGUUAGUGUGUGUGUCUGACUGUGUGUGUCUGUUAGUGUGUGUGUCUGACUGUGUGUCUGUUAGUGUGAGUGUGUUUGCCUGUGAGUGUGUGUGUCAGUGAGUGUGUGUGUCAGUGAGUGUGUGUUUGUCUGUUAGUGAGUGUGUCUGUUAGUGUGUGUGUUUCUGUUAGCUUGUGUGUGCUUCUGUUAGCUAGUGUAUGCGUAUCUGUCAGUGAAUGUGUGUUUAUUUAGAAGGUGGGGCGGGGGGAACGGUUGGGUGGGGGUGGCGCGGGGGGGGGGGGCUGAGUUUUGUCCUGCCUAGGACAGCACAAAACCAGGAUACACCACUGCAUCCCCCAUGACAUUCCCUAACCACCCAAGCCCCACACUACAAUCUCUAUCCCCAAUUACAACCCCUAUACCCCACUACAGUGUCAAUUCCGCCAUUAUUAGCCCCUGUCGCACAUUAGAGCCCUUAUCUCCGCACUAAAGCCCCAGUCCCACAUGCUACAGCUCUUGUCCCCCACUGAAGCCCCUACUCCCCCCACAUUACAACCCUUUCUGUAACACAAGAAUGUAUAUGUAGGUGGUGCAUGUAUGUCUGCAUAAUGUAUAUUUGUGCAGCCUGCAAGAUAGUGGUUACAGGGGGCCCCAUGAGUUGUCAGUCCGCCCCUGGUAGAAGGUAAACUUCCAAUCCUAUAGAAAGCACAUAGACACAAAAUAAAGUAGCACAGUCUAAAGUAAUGAUAGAAGAGCUAGUGCCAAAUUGGUACUUACAAACAUAGAGCCACUAUAGCUCUGUAGUAGUGUGUUGUGUAGUUUAGGGCUAUGCUCCCCCUUUUUUGUAAGUAAGAUGCUCAUGAUGUCAGGAGCCAGGAUAAAACAUUAACACAUUUAUUUAGAAAAUAUAACAAAACAUAUAAAUAAAACAAGGAACAAUGUCCAUAAAAGUACCGGUACACGUUUCUCUACUUGAUGUAGCUUCCUCAGCCGGAUAAGCUGUGUGUGAAUCUUUUAUUUACUGACCUAGCUUUCCAUCAGGUGGUCUGGAUGUCCCUGGCCCCGUACUAUUUUGAAGAGCUGCAACACUAGUGCAAGCUCUAAAAUGUAAUUCUCCAUCUGACAUAUUUUGUUGAGGAGGCAUUGAGGGUGAACUUUGCAGACUCUGAAAAUUUUGAAAUUAUUAUAUAUUUAUAUGAAAAAACAUACACUAGAUUCUCUUCUUCCCUCAACGGCACAAACUUUUUGCCCCUGGAAAAAAACAUCAUACAAAGACAAUCUAACCUCACACAACUUGGUAAUGAUUCCUAACCUCACACGACUCAGCAAUGAUUCCUAUUCCUCAGUAAUAGGUAAUCCCAAAUUUCAAUCUAACUGUGGUAAGAAAACAGCGUUUUAUAUGGUAGAUAUCUAAUAAACUAGUGACGAGGAGAUUUUGCCCAACUAGGCUAAUCGCUCACUGUUGAGAAUCUUAUUAUAUCAAAAAGAAACUGACAAAUAUAAGAAAUAUCCUGAUCUAUUUAGGAUCCUUAUCACACAGAGCAGCUCAAUGCUACUUGACCCAAUUUGAACGUUUAUAUAACUAUAAUUCUUCCGAUGGUGGAUCAAUAUCAGCAAUACAUAGCCUCUUAACAAAACAAAUUGCUUAGAGGAAACAAGAUUAUAAAAAUUAUUGAUCAUGGAAUCUGAUAUAGGAAAGGAACUGGAUAACACAUGGACGGAUAUAUUCAGCAAUUGUUACAAAUGGUCUCAUCUGUACCACAAGCAAGGAAAACUGAUCUAAAGGCUCAUCCAGAUGGUACAUAGACCCAGUCCGUCACUUGCCGUGGUUGACACGCUCUAGAGAUUAUCAGCUUUCUGGAAUGGACUUUCCAAGAUGUUGAGUGAUGCACUGGAGAUAACCUUGUCCCCUGAUUCUAUCUUGUCACUAUUAAACACUUAACCCCUACCACAUUGUUCAUCUGCCACACAAUGUGUUUUGCUGGUAGGUAAAGUAUUGUGAAGAGGUAAAAAGAAGAGAUUCCCCAAUUGAUAUAUUCAUGAAAAAAAGUGAACUUUAUUCAAGAUAUGGAAGAAAUGUCUGCUAAAAUUAAUGGGAACUUAGCAUCACACAAAAAAACUUGGCGUCCAUGGAUAGAAUAAAAAAAUUAUAUACUUGGCCUGAAAGAUAUCAUCCUCCUUACCUUGCUUAUCUACUCCCCACUCUUCCCCUUCUGUCCCCCCUUUUUUUUCUCCCUUUCUUUCUAUUUUUAGAAAUAUUAUUUCUUAUUGCCUAUUGGUUUUACAUUAUUUAAUUUUAAUAUAUAUUGUAAAAACGUAUAUGUUGUGUAAUUGUUAUACUAAAAGAAAGGAGACUAAAUCCCAAUACACAAAACAUGUGUUAUCACUACUCUUGUACUUCUAAUGCUUAUACUUUUACAACUCUUUAUUGUUAAUAUUUAUAUAAUGCAGUGCAAUACUCCAAAUGUUUUAUAACUUUCUGUAAUAUCGCUGAUGUACAGCUGACACUGUAUCACAUCUCUCUUUUCAAUAAAAAAAAAAAAAAUAUAUCAUAAAUAAAAGAAAUGCAUCUUUUGCCUGACAAUAUGCUGACAGGCUCAACACAGGCGAGUUGACAUUUAAAGGGACACUAUAAGCAUCCAAACUAUUUUAGCUUAAUGUAGUGGUUUUGGUGUAUAGAUCACACCCCUACAAUCUAAGUGCUCAAUUAUCUGCCACUUAGGAGUUAAAUCAUUUAAUUUAUGCAGCAUUAGCCAUAGCUCUCUGGCUGUGACUCACACUGUCUCUUUACACAUUUCCUGUAAAGAGAGAUCUACUUUUUAAUAUUCAUUUAUUGCACAGUCUGUUUAUACCUUUCUCUGUUAAUAGCCUGCUAGAGCCUGCUGUGUGCGAUUAAAUUUCAAUUGACAGAGCAGGAGACAAAAACUUCUAAAGUAAAGACACUAUGCUGUAAGAUCUGAUUGAAGAUGAAGCCUUUUUUCAUGUAGACUGUGUGAUUCACAGCAAGGGGAUGUAUGGCUAGAGCUGCAUAAAUAGAAACAUAACAUAUUUAAAAGAGUAUCCAAAAUAUAAAAUAAUUAAAAAGAAUGCAUGCAACAAUAUUAAAAUGAAGUCAUGAUUGAAAGAAACAGGUACAGAAAGUCUAUGGUACCCUAAAGUCAUUGUCUCUAAUACUUUAUCACCCCAGGAUAAAUUAGUAGCCACCAAGAUAUUUUAGUUUUUUUUGUACCCUAGACAUUCUGUCUUGCUUUUAACAUGUCUAUUGUGUUUAUGUGGCAUUUGCUAACUGUCAGUAUAAACAUAUUAUUAUGGUACUUCAAUUAAUUUGUUUUUGUUUUUUUAAAUCUUUAUUUAAGGUUUUGGAGCACCAAAAUAAAAAAAUAAAUAAAAGAGUUAUAGAACAAUAAUGUAUAAGAUGACAAAAAUUAUGAGUAAUGAAUUUUGCAGUUACAAAUAUCACAUAAGUGUAUAAAAACUCAACAGGGUUUACAUGUGCUGUUCGUGAAACUAGAGAGGAUCAGAGAUAACAGAAUUGGCAUAUAUUUGGCUUAUUCAUAGUAAGCAAACAAGCUGUCAAAAUCCCACUCGUAGAUUAUCACCUGUUGGAAUAUAUCUUGUCAGAAACCAAAGGUCUAAGAACAUAAUUCCCAGAAGUGGGACAGAAACAGUAUAAAAGACAUAUAAUACAUAAAACAAAGAGAUGUAAGUGGAAAGGGAAAGAGGAAGUAUGAGAGAGGGAGAGAGAGAAGAAAAAAAGAGUGGAAGUGAUUUCAUCCAUCUUAUAAGCACCCGCCAACAACAUGACUAUAUAGCAUCCGAAGCUCACAAGCAAACCCUCGAAGCCUCCAAAAUAACAGAGGGAAGAAUAGGGUCCAUACAUCUAACCGCUAAGGAAGGAUAACCAUGAACUCCAAACAGUGAUGUACUUUUUUGUUCUGCCCAAUAGUGCUGCAACCUUCCCCUCCACCUGGCGAAUCUCCUCAACACUGCUCAUGUGGCCACAAGCAGUUGCAUCCAUAUGUCAGGAAUCGGGAAACUAGCUGCAGUCAGGAGGUGGGUAUUUCAAUAGAUGGUUUAAUAAGAG